Long non-coding RNA from Synchiropus splendidus (mandarinfish), 1397 nucleotides. RefSeq lists it as uncharacterized. The transcript has 4 exons. NCBI's taxonomy places the organism in Eukaryota, Metazoa, Chordata, Actinopteri, Syngnathiformes, Callionymidae. The record is from RefSeq and is a predicted model, not a curated record.
GCGUUCCGCCGGUGAACCGUCACUCAACUACUGUAGGACUGUGUUCCAUGAUCCGUAACGUGAGUUUCGUCGUUCCCUCCAGCAACUGACAGAAGUGCUUCAACCAACGUCAUGGUUCCAACGAGAACCAGAAAACUAGCAGCUAACUUCAAAUGUCCAGACACCAGCGAGCCACCGCGUGGGUCUGGAACAAGACCGUCGCCCGGCAUGAUUGGCUGACGUGUACGGGUUAUUGUUUUAUUUACCAUCUCACAAAAAUCAUACUCCUCCACUUCUGGCUUGACUAUUAUGCAGCAUGGAAGACCCUUUUAUUCAUUUGUAGCAAAAAAAAUUGGCAUCAAUGAACAAAUUUUCACCCUUAUGGAAUCUGUUCAGAUACUUCCUGGUCUGACGACGACGCGGUACGUGUCAGCCAAUCAUGACGCAGUCGUCUUUAGACCAGGAAGCAGCACAGACGUGCCGUUUUUUUUACUCAUAUAAAUGUGACAGAAAGUGCCAUUUAAAUAUUCAUUCAUAAUUGUUAUUUUGAUUGUAUUAAAUCAAGCUAUUGUUGACACAUGCUGAUAUUGUUGUUGUUGUUGUUGUCACUAUCUUUAAUACCAAAGCAGUAACAUGUAAUAGUGAGUAGCAUCUGUCUCAACUUAUGUCUGCUGAAAAAUUGAUCAGUACUUGGGUGUAGGCUCCAUAAUACUUCUGUUUUUAUAUUGUGAAGUAGCUAAACCUCUGUACCAAGAUGGCGGAGCUGUUGGCUCAAUGUCCACUGUUCAGUCUCAUGACAUUUCAGAUGUUUAUUGAGAAAUUUCAGAAAUGUUCAAAUUCAUGUGAGAAACAGCAAGAUUUUGUUUUUAUCUCAUGAAUAUUAACCUGAAAUAGUUCUCGUGUUUGAAAGAUAUUUUCUAAAGUUGAACAGAAAAUUCUUUAGUUCUGUAUUGCUGUUUUAGUUGACAGGGCCGCCAGAAGGCCACCUCUUGAGGUUAUGGUAAUAAUAACCUGCCAGUGUGUGUAACUGAUGUUUGUGUAAUGAGCUAAACAAACUCCUGUCAGUCAGUCAUUAUUUCUCCUUAGUUCCAGUUGGCUGCAAAAUAAACUUGUAGUUAAUUCAGCCGUUUACAGGACAACAGUGGGUUGAUUGACACGUGAUAAUAAAUUGUUUUCACUUUGCUUCAACGUGACAAUAUCCAGUUGCUGGAUGUGUCCUCGCGCCCUGAGCCAGAGAAGACAAACAAAUAAACAAGUAUUUGGGUGCGAACUGUGCUGCAGCGCGGACUGCAUUGUUCCUGUCCCGGCCUGUUGUGUCGGCUCACCUGUGGGUUUGGUAGAGAGCAGCUUGUUUGUGUCUCUCUCUCUCUCACACACACCUCCUCCCCCUCCCAACCAUGCGCCACAUCAAAGCGUGU